GAACCCUUUUGAAGCAAUCGCCCAUUUCUUCUAAGCAAUGGCUGAGUCGAGAGACAGACUCGUGAGAAAUGUUGAUUUAGCGGAAGUAUUCGCUCGAAGACGGAUUGGGCAUUUGGGAAUCCUCUCGCAAGAACGAUGGAACUUUUAUGCGGCUCCGCUGUUACUCGUAGGCCAGUGGGUGUUGCUGGUGCUACUCUUUCGACGGCGCGUGGUGGACGGUUCCGCCGGGGUAGCAGUUUCCGGACUCCAAGAAUUAUAAGACGUGGCCGGACUACGAGAGAGA
Molecule: long non-coding RNA, 283 nt
Organism: Hibiscus syriacus
Lineage: Eukaryota; Viridiplantae; Streptophyta; Magnoliopsida; Malvales; Malvaceae
Exons: 3
Source: RefSeq, a predicted model, not a curated record